GACGAACGCUGGCGGCAUGCCUAAUACAUGCAAGUCGAGCGAACAGAUGAAGUGCUUGCACUUCUGACGUUAGCGGCGAACGGGUGAGUAACACGUAAGGAAUCUACCUAUAAGCGGGGGAUAACAUUCGGAAACGGGUGCUAAUACCGCAUAAUAUCUUCUUCCGCAUGGAAGAAGAUUGAAAGACGGCUCUGCUGUCACUUAUAGAUGACCUUGCGGUGCGUUAGUUAGUUGGUGGGGUAACGGCCUACCAAGACGAUGAUGCAUAGCCGACCUGAGAGGGUGAUCGGCCACAUUGGGACUGAGACACGGCCCAAACUCCUACGGGAGGCAGCAGUAGGGAAUCUUCCGCAAUGGGCGAAAGCCUGACGGAGCAAUGCCGCGUGAGUGAAGAAGGCCUUCGGGUCGUAAAACUCUGUUAUAAGAGAAGAACAAAUUGUAGAGUAACUACUACAGUCUUGACGGUAUCUUAUCAGAAAGCCACGGCUAACUACGUGCCAGCCGCCGCCGUAA
This 513-nucleotide ribosomal RNA is filed under the name uncultured bacterium. RNAcentral describes it as "partial 16S ribosomal RNA". It matches the Rfam family "Bacterial small subunit ribosomal RNA", at positions 28 to 523 of the family's 1533-position model. The record is from RNAcentral.